Molecule: non-coding RNA, 4060 nt
Organism: Ictidomys tridecemlineatus (thirteen-lined ground squirrel)
Lineage: Eukaryota; Metazoa; Chordata; Mammalia; Rodentia; Sciuridae
Source: RefSeq, a predicted model, not a curated record
UGGCUCAGCAAGCACAAAGGUGACAUCUCAGUGGAAGCGGUCUGCGGCCAGAUGUAGAUGACUUGCAAAUAUGCAUAAUACUUCAUUCCAGGCCACUCUGAGUGCUUGGAAGUUAUGCUCUCUCAGAGCUCCCAGGUACCCCGGGGGUAAAGAGGUUCGGUGAUGUCUUCCAGGUCACAGGCGUAAAUAGUUGUAGAUCCAGGGUUCAAAUGCAAGCAGUCGAGCUCCAGAGUCUGGGUAACUGGGAGCACCUUAGGAUGCAUAAGCCAUACAGACCCUGCUUUAGUGGGCCUGGGGCUCUCCGGGGCCUCUGACUUGCGGUCCUGGAACCCUGCUUUGUGAAACCUGGUGAUGCAGAGGAGGGAUCCCCUCCUCUGUCUGACAGAGUGGACGAGAAACAGGACUGCAGGCACCACAGUCCCAGGGAGGGAGUCCAGAGUUCUCCACUGCCAGGUCCCCCGAUCAGGUUCCUGUCACAGUCCCCAGGAUGGGAGCUAGAGCUCUGGGCCUCAGGGGCAGCCCCAAGGCUGCUAUAGGACACCCCCUGCCCCCCCUCCCCAGGUUCCUGUCUCUGAGUCCUUCCCAGUGAUUGCUGGGACAUGAAACAAACCCAAGAGCCAGGCUCCUCUGGGAGGAGACCACGCACCCAGAGCCAGGCCCCGGGAGGCUUCCUCAGGCUCUGAUUCCCCGGAGGAAGAAGUGUGGAGAGCUGUGAAGCCUCUGUGCCUCUCUCUGAGCAGACUAACUCCCUGGAGGGCAGGCUGUGGUCUUCCUGGUGCCUGACGUGAUCACUGAGGAAUGAACUCAUGAAAGGACUGCUCUUCGCCUCAGCCCGAGCGGGAAGAUGGAUUCCAGAACCAAGGGCCAGAGCAGCUGCUCCUGAGUGGAGCUUCGAGGGGCAGAGCCAAGCCAGGGCCCUGGAGGCGACUCCAGCCCGCCCUCCUGACCGUGGGCAGUGUCAGGGAAGCCUCUCCACCUGCCUGUCCCUGGUGUCCCACCUCCAGGGAGGGUGGAAACAGGUCUACAGACAGGUCAUCAUGACCUCUGGCCUUCGACCUCACAGACGUGCACACACGAGUGGCCCAUGCCUAGACGGCUGCAGGGACGGGAAGGCUGAGUUCCGUUCCGGAGAGGAACACCUCCUCCCCCUGCCAGGAGGAGGCGGAGUGACUCAGAGCAAGCUGGAGCCUGGGCUCCGUGUGUGAGAAGAGGAAGGAAGAAAGAGAAGGCCCAGCUCUUUCCCUGGUAAAUUCCAGUAAGUGUACGUUUGGGCCUCAACGUUCCCUGCUGCACAGGGGAAGGUGGAAGACUCACGUGGCCUCAGUCUAUUUGCAAGGGAGGCUGAGGACAGAGGACAGUGAGGAUGUUGGAUGUAUGUGGCCUCUCCAUCACCCAAAGAUGCAUUUCUACUAUUGAGCUGUCCGUCAGAAAUUAAAGUCAAGAUUCUGAUUUAGAUGUGGAACGAGGGAUGGGGCCCAAACCCCCAUGAAUCCCAUUUCCAACCCUGGUGUCCCCAGAGCUUGACCUACGAGUGCACCCAGGAGGUGGGAGACACACAACAGAGGGUCUGGAGCACUGGUUUGGGUUGGAAGCCAGGGUCUGAAACUGGCUCCAUUAAAAGAUGAUUAUCUAUCAUAUUUUUAAAAAGCAGUUAAAUACGUGACAGUUAAAAACAACUCGCGUAUACGGUAUUCUUCAGGUGCACUGGUGGGGCGCACAGGCUGGAAGGAGACUUGUGAAAGGCGGCGCCAAGACGCGGAGGACUGUAGGGUAGUGAGCACAGAAGGCCUAGGAGAGUGUGGCCCCGGGAGCCCCAGACCCAGCCUCCUGCUCCUGCUCGGCAGCGCCACUCUUCAACAUGAGCAUGCGGCCCUGUGUGUCUGCAGGGCCACACGGAGCCGCAGCCUCCUGCUGCUGCUGCUGCUGCUAGCUGAGAAGGGAGCGUGACGUGCGCUUCAGUGGCUCAGGGCCUGGCUCUGUCCCUGGGGCCGCUGAGGAGGAGCCCUGUGCUCUGGGGGAAGGGUCACCAGGCAAAGGGUCAUAAAGGUAGCCAGAAAAUUUCCAAAUUAGUCAUGGGAACAGGCCAACCUCAGAGCAGGGACCCAGAAAUCAGGAAUGUUCCUGGCCCUGGCCGUGACGUCUCUGCUUACAGCCUCCGAGACAUGGCCCCACCAAGAAAUGCUAAAAAUACCUUGGCCAGGGGCCUUGAUUGCACUUAAAAACUGCUCUCUGGAGGCAGCCUUGGGGACAGCUGAUGGUAAUGUGGGCGCCAGGCCGGCAGCCUGCCCGGCUGAAAAGGUCAGCCCGUGUUGGGUGCUUCCAGAUGGGAGGUUCUGCCAGGACUUCUUGAGUACUCGCCAUCAAGUGCAACGCCACCGUAAGCAGCUCUGCCUGAUCUGCUGGGGACAGAGCUGAGCCCCUUCUGGGUUUCGUGGCCUUAAUGGUGGCUCUGCUUUGGCUCAGCUGAUGGUUGAACAGCAGGCAGGCAGCACCAGCUCCACCGGGCUCACCUGUGCCUCUGCAGGGUUUCCAGGCCACCUCCUCUGAAAUCCCUGCACAUCACAGGAGGGUGCUCCUGGCUCCGGGUCAGUGCCCUGCUUUCUGUUUCUCCGACAGAAGACUCCCUGGCCUGACACUGCCGUUAUCCUGGACACGGGCAGCCUCCUUGUGGGACCAUCACACUUUAUGGGCACGAGGUUUCUAAGCACUACUUCUGAGUCACAGCUGCCAAGAGUCAGUGUGAUGGGUGGAAGCUGGAUGACGUCCUGGUAGAAUACAAUCCCAGCAGUGAAAUUCCUAGAGGAACGAGAAGGCACACUUGCACUGUUAACACCCACUGACAAACGGCCCUGCAGCAAACGGUAUGCCAACUUUUAAUCUCUGUCAGUCUAAGUAAAACAAUUUGAAAUUGUAGUUUUAAAUACUACUUGUUUCAUUCUAAAUGGAGUUGAAGCACAUGAAAAUAUGCUUAUGAGCCAUCUAUUUCCCUGUGAAGUGCCUGUUUUGUUCUUGAUCCAUGUCUUGGGUGGGUUGGUGAUCCCCUUGUUUAUUCACGAGGGUGCUUUACAUGUGAAGACACUGGCUCUGUAGUUUAUAUGUGUUUCAAAUAUUCUGUGCAGUUUGUCAUUUGUUUUCUGAUAGAUUUUCCCAUGAGGAUAUUUUAAAAGAAUUUUGCAGUCAAACAAACGUGCCAGACUUCUCCAUCAUGGUUCCAAGAGGACAUUGAUAGAGAAGCCUGGAGGGAGGAGCUAAAGAAGACUCAGGUCUCCACUGCAAGCACGCAGUGCAGGGCAGACUGGCAGCCCAGCCGCAUACCCGUCAGCCCCCUUCCAGGCAAUGACUUGACCAGUGCUCUCUGCCUGCCUCCCUCUUGCUGCCCCGGGGGGUUCCGAACCCUGAGUGGUUCUUAGUGACUCACUUCAACACCAGCGCCCCCAGCUCCAAGCACCAGGGACACCUAGGACAUGAAAACCAGGGAGGCUCCUGAGAAGGGGGGGGGAAAUGAGCCAACGGGCACACAGGUGACCCUGACCAUGUCCAGUGCUUCAGAAGAGGCUUGUGUGGCAGGAAAGCAUGUGCCCUGCAGAUGGACGUGUCUGGAUGUCCACUGAGAAUGGGUGUGCACGGUGGCCUGGAGGGACAAAGUCUCAGGCAGAAGGACCCAAGGGCAGGAAGAAGCUGGGGUCUCAGGGACCCAGGGCUGAGGAAGACACAGCGUUCCUGCUUGUCCUGACCUUGCCUUCAGAGGGCUUGAGGCUGAACCAGGCCCCUGUUGAGGGAAGAGAGGAGGAUGCAUUUCCCAUGGGCCAUGUGACAAAGCGAACACAUUUCUAUCCCUUGAGCCAACGUCAUUUGUUCUCAAGUGAUCAAGCAGAGGUGGUGGCAGCACCGGGGACGUGGGCAGCAGCAGGUGUGGGCCCUGCAUGGUGUUUCAGGAGAGGGCCCUGGGGACAGGUGACGGGGACAGGUGACGGAGCAUCAUCUGCUGGAAGGCAGGCUUCCCAUCUGGAGGUGACCUCAGGGAGGCUGCUCCAAGGUGGUGCUGGCUGUGAGGGAGCCG